Molecule: long non-coding RNA, 322 nt
Organism: Engraulis encrasicolus (European anchovy)
Lineage: Eukaryota; Metazoa; Chordata; Actinopteri; Clupeiformes; Engraulidae
Exons: 3
Source: RefSeq, a predicted model, not a curated record
UACGUAUGCCUUUUUUCUGCAUCAUAACCUGUCGUGCUGCGGAUAACAUUACUUCGCUUGUAGUCUGCCCUCUCCCAGUCUUCCACAGCAUGGAGAGUGUGGCCCUCAGUUGUUGGUUUUCCUCCGCUAUGACAAGCUGGGAGCUCCUAGAACUACAAAGCCCUUCCUGCAGUUUGGCCUCCUACUGUAAGAGGAGCUGAAGCAUUUUUUCAUACGGCGUGGAGAGUGUGGCCCUCAGUUGUUGGUUUUCCUCCGCUAUGACAAGCUGGGAGCUCCUGGAACUACUAAGCCCUUCCUGCAGUUUGGCCUCCUGCUGUAAGAG